CGUUCUGGUAACAUCUCUGAAACGCACGAGCCUCUGGCGCAAGGGUUUCCUACUGUUGAGGACACUCGCUGCUGUGCUCCUGCAAGACAAUCGAAUGGUACCUUCAAGCAACCACAAAAAGCUGCGGUCACGGGACAAAGAUUUACAUCCUAAAUCACUACCCAGCCCACGUCAUUCUAAAUGGAGAAAGAAGUUUAGUGCGCAGCAAAGUCUGCCCAAGGUGAACUUCAGUAACUACAAUGCUGUCAUGAGUUUCUUCAAUGUGAACCAGAACCACUGGAAGUUCAUUUAUCUGCAUGAACCUUCAGGCCAAGUGUCUUUGGUU
Salvelinus sp. IW2-2015 is the source of this 325-nucleotide long non-coding RNA. RefSeq lists it as uncharacterized. Lineage: Eukaryota; Metazoa; Chordata; Actinopteri; Salmoniformes; Salmonidae. The record is from RefSeq and is a predicted model, not a curated record.